GUUGCUUCCUCGAGGCCCUGGUGUGUUAAGUUUUCUAUGCUUCGGAGUACGGGCAUGUCUUACAUAUGGCUGUCUUCUGGAUAUGUUACACCAUCUAUUGUGAGCAAGCUGCAAGUGGUGACUCGGACGUGAUCAAGUGGUGACUCGGACGUGAUCAAGUGGUGACUCCAACGUGAUUGCCUUGAAGUUAUGCAUGGAGUAGGAUGGCUCACCAAUCUUCAGGGACUACCGGCAUCUGCAAAUGGCUCUGUGCUGCCACUCAACCAACUACGACCAGGGAAGAAUGAUAGAAGAUUACUUUGCAUUGGAUAAUCAGCACAUUCUAAGAAUUAAAGAAGGGGGAAAUGUGGCGGGUGUCUGACAAUACAUUCAAGCUUAUGUACAAGGCAUUUGAGGUUGAGGCAUAGAAAAAUACUGAGGCACUGUGUGUAUGUUGUUUGUGCAUGAGACUGUAAUUCCUUGACCCUGAAAACAGGACAAGGAAUAGAAUUUGUAAUAAGGAGUGCUGAACACAGCCUCCUAAGAAUGUGGUUUGAGUGCUUUUAGAUGUUAUAAACAAGGCCAUAUGUGCCUCAUGACCCGACCCCAAAUAGCCACCUGGUAGAUGUUUCUUGUUUGUCUAAAUUGUAGUUCAACUAGCCUUCCCAAUAAAUACUUGGCAGAUGAAUCUUAAAGCAGCACUCUCUUGGAGGAGCUGCUCCGCUCCCUGUUCAGCUGUAAUUGUCUGAAUACUUAUUUCUUGGCGUUCACUGCAGAGCAAGCUGCAGCACAGCUGCCGGCAUUUAUUCAUGCAAGCUUCCAGCUUGCUUAUCUAUGUCUGCAGCUCAAUUUUACAGGCUGUUCUUUGUUUAAAAAACAAAACAAAAAAAAAAAACAUAAUUUGUGGACUUUUUAUUAAAAAGAAAACUUUAC
Long non-coding RNA from Pongo pygmaeus (Bornean orangutan), 912 nucleotides. RefSeq lists it as uncharacterized. NCBI's taxonomy places the organism in Eukaryota, Metazoa, Chordata, Mammalia, Primates, Hominidae. The transcript is spliced from 3 exons. The record is from RefSeq and is a predicted model, not a curated record.